AGCGUCGUGGAUACAGUAUUUUCU
This 24-nucleotide non-coding RNA is filed under the name Arabidopsis thaliana (thale cress). Lineage: Eukaryota; Viridiplantae; Streptophyta; Magnoliopsida; Brassicales; Brassicaceae. The record is from RNAcentral.